This 253-nucleotide ribosomal RNA is filed under the name uncultured bacterium. RNAcentral describes it as "partial 16S ribosomal RNA". It matches the Rfam family "Bacterial small subunit ribosomal RNA", at positions 793 to 1055 of the family's 1533-position model. The record is from RNAcentral.
GUCCACGCCGUAACGAUGUAUGCUAACGUUGGGUUUACCUUCAGUGUUGCAGCUAACGCAAUAAGCAUACCGCCUGGGAGUACGGUCGCAAGAUUAAACUCAAGGAAUUGACGGGCCCGCACAAGCGGUGGAGCAUGUGGUUUAAUUCGAAGCAACGCGAAACCUUACCUACCCUUGACAUGGUGAUUAUGGAUGUGAGAGAUCACGUCCUUCAGUUCGGCUGGGUCACACACAGGUGCUGCAUGGCUGUCGU